UAGGGAAUCUUCGGCAAUGGGGGGAACCCUGACCGAGCAACGCCGCGUGAGUGAAGAAGGUUUUCGGAUCGUAAAGCUCUGUUGUAAGAGAAGAACGGGUGUGAGAGUGGAAAGUUCACACUGUGACGGUAUCUUACCAGAAAGGGACGGCUAACUACGUGCCAGCAGCCGCGGUAAUACGUAGGUCCCGAGCGGUGUCCGGAUUUAUUGGGCGUAAAGCGAGCGCAGGCGGUUAGAUAAGUCUGAAGUUAAAGGCUGUGGCUUAACCAUAGUAUGCUUUGGAAACUGUUUAACUUGAGUGCAGAAGGGGAGAGUGGAAUUCCAUGUGUAGCGGUGAAAUGCGUAGAUAUAUGGAGGAACACCGGUGGCGAAAGCGGCUCUCUGGUCUGUAACUGACGCUGAGGCUCGAAAGCGUGGGGAGCAAACA
Molecule: ribosomal RNA, 427 nt
Filed under: uncultured bacterium
Lineage: Bacteria
Description: partial 16S ribosomal RNA
Rfam family: Bacterial small subunit ribosomal RNA
Source: RNAcentral